Molecule: ribosomal RNA, 499 nt
Filed under: uncultured bacterium
Lineage: Bacteria
Description: bacterial SSU rRNA
Rfam family: Bacterial small subunit ribosomal RNA
Source: RNAcentral
GGCGGCGUGCUUAACACAUGCAAGUCGAACGCGAACGGGACUCGGUCCCUAGUAGAGUGGCGCACGGUGAGUAACGCGUAGAUAACCUAUCUUCCUGUCUGGAAUAAUACGCCGAAAGGAGUACUAAUACCGGAUACUCUUGCUUUUCAUAAGUAUAGCAAGCAAAGGUGGCCUCUGUAUAUGCUACUGCAGGGAGAGGGGUCUGCGUACCAUUAGCUAGUAGGUGGGGUAAGGGCCUACCUAGGCUACGAUGGUUAGCGGGUCUGAGAGGAUGAUCCGCCACACUGGCACUGGAACACGGGCCAGACUCCUACGGGAGGCAGCAGUGAGGAAUAUUGCGCAAUGGGGGCAACCCUGACGCAGCGACGCCGCGUGAGUGAAGGAAGGCCUUCGGGUCGUAAAGCUCUGUCAAGAGGAAAGAAGUGCAUAGCGGUUAAUACCCGUUAUGUUUGACGGUACCUCUAAAGGAAGCACCGGCUAACUCCGUGCCAGCAGCUGC